RNA transcript from Musa acuminata AAA Group (dessert banana), 656 nucleotides. It is a transcript of the gene named acidic ribosomal protein P1 pseudogene, with no coding region annotated. The record is from RefSeq and is marked validated. NCBI's taxonomy places the organism in Eukaryota, Viridiplantae, Streptophyta, Magnoliopsida, Zingiberales, Musaceae.
GCAAACCCUAACUUAGAACUUCUCCUUCGCUGCGGCCAAAUCCUUCUUCUUACUUCAGAUAGUCAGUGUUUUCUUGUUUGCUGCGUCCAGCCAUGUCGAUCGGGGAGCUCCCAUGCACAUACGCUGCUCUCAUCCUCCAUGACGAAGACCUCCCCAUCACGGCGGAGAGGAUCGCCACCCUGGCGAAGGCAGAGAACGUGAAGAUCGACUCCUACUGGCCGCCCCUCUUCGCCAAGCUCGUCGAGAAGAAGAACGUCGAUGAUCUCAUCUUGAGCGUCGGAUCAGCUUUUGCUUGAACGGCUUUAGAUAGAAAGAUUAUCUUUACUUUAUUAUUUGCCCAUCUGAUUUUGGACGUACAGGAGGAGGUGGUGUUGCUGCUUCUGUGUCAGCCGCUGUUGCCGGCCCCGGAGGUGGUGCUUCUGCCUCCGCCGCCGCUGCGCCUGCUGUUGUUGAGGAGCAGAUGAAGGUCAGUGAAGUCUGUUUAUUGGGUUUUCAUGUUUAUUGGGGUUUUCUGCUAAGAUAUUAAUCUUAUUAUUAUUUGAUUAAGUAGUCCUUUAUAACGUGAGUUCGCUUACGUGAGGAUUUGUAUGUAUUUGGGGUAGAAGCAAAGAAAGUGAUGAUGGUAUGAGAUUAUCUUUGUUUAUCUUAAAUUGAUA